Molecule: ribosomal RNA, 394 nt
Filed under: uncultured Deinococcus sp.
Lineage: Bacteria; Thermotogati; Deinococcota; Deinococci; Deinococcales; Deinococcaceae
Description: bacterial SSU rRNA
Rfam family: Bacterial small subunit ribosomal RNA
Source: RNAcentral
ACGUGUGCAAACCUUGCUUAUCAGGGGGAUAGCCUUUCGAAAGGAAGAUUAACACCCACUAAUAUAUUAAGUGGCAUCAUUUAAUAUUGAAAACUCCGGUGGAUAGAGAUGGGCACGCGCAAGAUUAGAUAGUUGGUAGGGUAACGGCCUACCAAGUCUACGAUCUUUAGGGGGCCGUGAGAGGGUGAUCCCCCACACUGGUACUGAGACACGGACCAGACUCCUACGGGAGGCAGCAGUGAGGAAUAUUGGACAAUGGGUGCAAGCCUGAUCCAGCCAUCCCGCGUGAAGGAUGACGGCCCUAUGGGUUGUAAACUUCUUUUGUAUAGGGAUAAACCUUUCCUCGUGAGGAAAGCUGAAGGUACUAUACGAAUAAGCACCGGCUAACUCCGUG